UGACAGGGUCUCACUAAGUUUAUGAGCGCCUCCCUAAGUUGCCCAUAUUGGCCUUGAACUUGUGAUCCUCCUGCCUCAGCCUCCCAAGUCACCUGGGAUUAAAGGCAUGCACCACCAUGCCUCAAUUGAAGUAAGUAUUCUUAUUUUAUUUUAUUUUUUCUGUUUUACAGAUGAGGAGACUGAAGUACACAUGGCACGUGUUCUUAUUUCUGUUUGUUUUUUUGUUUGGGGUUUGUUUUUCCUUCCUCGGUCUGGUAGAUGCAAAUAUCCAAACUGACCCAGGAGCUGAAUUAUUUAGAGAGUGAUGACACAUUCAGAAUUUAGCUCAGUGGCUCUUCAGGUUGCCAACUAGAAAGCAGCUUUGCUGGCUGCCACUUUUGAUCCAGGGCCAGACCCUGAGGGUGACACAUCACUGAACUGCAAGGAGCCUGGAGAAUCAUGGGUCCCUGUAGCAGAGACUGCUCUCCAAAGCUAUUUGUCCUUCUUCUGUGGCACAAAGCUAGACUGUAUUCUUCAGCCUCCCUUGGAGCUUCUAAUAAUUUCUAGCCAAUGGAAUGGGAUGGAAUUUGCAUAGAAAUGAUGGGUGCCUCUUUUAGAGAUGGUCCUUUAUAAUCCACACCCCCUCCCCUGUCUCUGCCCAUCAUCUGGCUACAUGCACAGGAUUCUGAGGAUUUAGAAAACAGAAGAUGGUAGAAAUCUGUUUUCCUGGUUCUUUGACUAGAUUUCAUUAAAUGGCUUAUUUAACUAAGAUUUAGUCUAGUAAGCUUCCAAUCGGCUAGAACUUCAUGAAGGAAAAAUGCCUGCUGAUGAGGAACACGUACAUUGGACAGUUGAAUAACCAUGGGAAACAACUUUUCUUAUAUUAAGACAUUAAAAUUUACAGGCUUGUUUGUCACCACAGAUAGCAUUGACCUGAACGGUCCUCAAGACCAUUAUGCAAUAAGCUAGCCAUACUAAUCCUGAAGAGCCCACACUGGGACUUCUAGAUGACGAAAAACAAAUCUCACUUCUUGCAUUUUCUCUAUAUAACUUCUAUAAUUCCUACUUGUUACUUGAUAUUUCCAUCUAUCUACAGAUGAGUAUAAUCUCAAAAGAGAAAGUGAUGGUUACCUUGAUCCCUCUUGCUGCUUCCCUAACUUUGGUUUUUGUAUCUGUUUUGUUCCAGUGGCAUCUAACUUCGACCUUUGGGUUUCCAACAAAUUUUAAUUUUGCCAGCUUUGACCCUCAGAGUCUCCAAAAUGCCAUUUACACCAAGAAUGCUGUUUGAUGCUUCUAGCCCAGGUUAUUUCAGGUAACCAGCCCUUCUACCUUAAAGGGCUGGGCACCCUGACAUGCAAAUAUCCACACUAACCUGACAGAUGACUCAAUUAGUGGAUGACAACUUAUAUUCAGCAUUUAUUAUAGCAGCCUUUCAGGUUAAGAUCCUCCCAGCUGACUAUUUAAAAAACUUUGUACAAAUUCUUUUUUUUUUUUAAUUGUUGGUUGUUCAAAACAUUACAAAUUUCUUGACAUAUCAUAUUCCACACUUUGAUUCAAGUGGGUUAUGAACUCCCACCUUCACCCCAUACACAGAUUGCAGAAUCACAUCAGUUACACAUCCAUUGAUUUACAUAUUGCCAUACUAGUGUCUGUUGUGCUCCGCUGCCUUUCCCAUCCUCCACCCUCCCCCCUCCCACCUCUCCCCUCCCCUCCCCUCCUCUCUCUCUACCCCCUCCACUGUAUAACCCUGAGGGUCUCCUUCCAUUUCCAUGCAAUUUCUCUUCUCUCUCCCUUUCCCUCCCACCUCUCAUCCCUGUUAAAUGUUAAUCUUUUUCUCCUGCUCUUCGUCCCUACUCUGAUCUUAGUUACUCUCCUUAUAUCAAAGAAGACAUUUGGCAUUUGUUUUUUAGGGAUUGGCUNUGAUCCAUUUUAAAUUCACUUUUGUGCAUGGCGAGAGAAAGGGAUUCAGUUUCAUUUUGUUGCAUAUGGAUUUCCAGUUUUCCCAGCACCAUUUGUUGAAGAUGCUAUCCUUCCUCCAUUAAAAAAAAAAAAAAACAAGAACAACUAACUUCAUUAAGACUCAAAUAUAUUCCAUAUAGUCACAAGCAGGUCCUGCAAAUAGCAAGAUGACUAUGACACCUGGUCAUGAACCAGGUAUUGCUUCCUCCAGGUCUGUAAAAUCUCAUCCUUCCUUUAGCCUUCCAUGAAUAAACCACAACUCUUGAUAAAUCUUGCCUUUUCAGCAAGUUGGAAUAAAUGCUCAUACUCUAGAAAUCUCCCAGGAUCUAGACAGCAUGGAACACUGGGUGGGCUAGGAGAUCAGCCAUUGGAAUGGUGGAAAGAGAGCAAGCUGGAAACUAGACAGACCCAAUUUUCAAUCCCAACUCUACUAAAAUGCUCAGGUUUUUCAUUUGCAAAAUGAGGCAUAUUCGUACCUUGUGCAAACUAGAUGUAUCGAAUAUGGUUAUUUGGGGAAGUGACUGAAGUUCUCUUGCCUUGCAAAAUUUUGCAUGGCUUGAUGUUGUUUUGUCCUCUUCUUAUUCUACUUCUGGAGCCAUUGACUCUAGUUAGAAUCCCAAUCCUGCCACUGAAGGAGGUAUAUGACUUGUUCAAUUAAUUUAAUCUCUUUAUACAGUUUUCUAGUUUUUAAAAGGGGGAUACUAAUAGUACUGCUGUGAGGCUCCAGUUAUUUAAAGUAUGUUUGGCAUGUAGAGCAGAGUUAAGUGCAGAGAAGUAUCCAAUAAACUAUUCUUAUCCUAUGAAGGGAUUACUUGCCACAUCUUGUCUCUCUUUAUGGACUGAAAACUCCUUGGAUCCUAAAACCUCUGCUCUACUCUUUACCAACUGCAAACAUCCAUUUGCUAUUAGUCUUAGUCCUUGGGAUGUUCAGUCCAUUUGUAUGGACUUCCUGGCCAAUUUGCUCAUGCCAGGCAGGGUAGGGUAUGACCCGUUUCUAAGAGGAUAAACCUUUUGACAUUCACUUAGCUUCUGAAACCCAGGGGCCAUCUCUAAGUAGAUGGAGUCCUGUAGUUGUCUGUGCCUGAAGCCCUGGUCCAUCUGUUACCAGAAAGAAAUCUUACUGCUAAAUAAUCACUCAUCCAUGCAGAAUCUAGAUCUACUGUGUGAGAUGUUUUUAAUCAUUUCCUGAUGAGUUACUUACCAGUCCAAACAGAUGUGCAUCUAGGGGGCUGGUUAUCCUCUUUGGUGUUCUCUCUCAUGUUCCUCCUCCAGCAUCUUCUCAAUCUCUCUCUCUUUUUCUUUCUCUCAGCCCUGACUCCUCACUACUCCACAUUCACCAGAGUUUCUCAGUUUGAGGCCUGCUGGAUCCAUCAAGUUUUCCUCUUUCAGAAAUUGGAAAUCGGAGAGAGGUGGCUUCAGAUGCCCAAGGAUGGGAAACCUACCUGUUGCACAAUUUUUCUUUGGCUGCUAUCAACCUCUCAUUUUGCAGGCUCUGAUCCCAGGCUCAGCCUCUUCUUCUAGCUGAAGCCAACCUCCUAGGAGAAGGAUGCAAGGAGGAAACCAUCCUGCCUGGAGUGCAGAUAAAACCACCAUCAGAGUCUCCUGUAAUGUCACUGUUCUUCAGCCCCAUGGCUCACAGCACUCACCUUCAUGUCCAGGAUGAGGUCUGCACUCCAUGAAUCUUAGAUCUCCUUCUUCCCCUUCUUCCACCCCUGCCUGGAGCUUUCCUUCACCCAGCUGAUUCCCAGAGAGACCAUCCUGGGGCCUGUUUCCAAGUUGUCACAAGAAAGGUUUUUCUUAGUCCCCAGAAUGGUGGGAUGCAAACCAUUGAUUACCCCAUGGACUGUUUGAGCAGGACCAAGUUUUGACAUCCCAGAGGAAGGGCCUAUCCUUGCACUAGGAGGCUCAGGUAGAGAGAUGACCCAGCUUGGGGGUCUUCUCUGUGUGAGCAAGACCACCAUGGGGGAUCUACAUUCACAGGUGUGUCUAUCUCCAUGUAUGUCCCAGCAUAUGCACCAUCAGGAACCUGAAUUUCUCUCCUCUUUCCCCUGUGUGAAGACUCACCAAUGAAUCCCACCUUAGGAAGGACAUGGAACAUUGGAUUGAGCUUUCCCAUCGCCUGAGAGCAAAAGGCUACAUCCUCAUAAUGUUUUUUUCAGUGUGAUAAUUAGACUUUUUCUUUUUUACAAUCUCAGAUAACCUGGAGAUAGAUAGAUAUAUUUAUAUAACUCCGGGUUUUGUUAUCUUUGAGGACUACUUGAUAUGUAAUUAAGUUAAAAAAAACAAAAGGCUUAACUGAUAGCUAACCAGCCAUUGCAAGUCAACAGAGACAUGAGUUAUCCUUUUUAGAUCCACUGGGGGAGCAAAGGCACAGGAAUUAGGAAAAAAUUCUACAAACGGCACUGACACAUAUCAUUAAAUACAAAUGUGAGCAGCCUUGAUUACAAGUGUUGUUGUCCUCUCUUAGCAGGCGCACACCCCGAACUUUCAUUAACCCCAGGGAGCUGAAUAGCAGCUUGUCCAACCGAGGUGCCGAGGUGCCAGUGCCGUGCAUUUUGUCAAAGCCUGCCUUAAUGAAAAAGGCAGGGCCACCUACCAUGAACUUCUCUCUGUGACUUCAUUCUUCAGCCGUGCUCAAGUGUAAAUAAACUUGUUUACCAGGAUCAGAAUGGCCAUGUUAAUGAAGUCUUAUUUGUGUCACCACAAUGACAAGUAAUCUGUGCAAAGUUGAAUUCAGGAGAGUGGAGGAAACCAGAGAAAUUGUAUUUUUGUUCUGAAGUUUCUGUACAGAUGUCUUUGGGCCAAAGUUAGUACAGUCAAUAUUCGCCUUUUCUUUUGAUUGUGUGUCCAUGGUAGAGAAAAACCUUGUUACUGUGCCUAAUGUGGUAAACAAAAUUAUACUGUACGCCAUGAGAAGAAAAGUGAAAUAAGAAGCAUUGAUGAAUGUACCAAGGGGUGUAACCUCAGUGGUUAGUGUGUGGUUUUUAUGAAAUGAAUGCAUGAAUAUGCGGACCCUAAUUAUUACUUUCAAUUGACAAAGUAUGGUGAAUAUAGAGAACAUUGCAGUACAGCUUUGGCUGAGUCUCAAAGCAACUUUAGAAGUAAAUAUAGAAAUUCUUGUGUACGUUGUAUUAUAUGAAAAGAUCAUUUUAAAAAAAUUGAGACUAUUUGUUCAUACCUUAUUGAGUGGAUCUGCAGGAUGAUCAAUUUUGUUUGUUUGUGUUGUUCUUU
RNAcentral lists this long non-coding RNA (5169 nucleotides) under Marmota monax (woodchuck). The record is from RNAcentral. Lineage: Eukaryota; Metazoa; Chordata; Mammalia; Rodentia; Sciuridae.